UCCCAUGUUCCCUCCCGUGUCCCCUUCCCGUGUCCCCUUCCUGUAUCUCCUUCCCAUGUCCCCUUCAUGUAUCUCCUUCUCAUGUCCCCUUCCCAUGUUCCCUUCCCGUGUCCCCCUCCUGUGUCCUCUUCCUGUAUCUCCUUCCCAUAUGCCCUUCCCGUGUCCCCCUCCUGUGUCCUCUUCCUGUGUCCCCCUCCUGUAUCCCCUUCCCGUGUCCCCUUCCCAUGUUCCCUUCCCAUGUUCCCUCCCGUGUCCCCUUCCCAUGACCCCUUCUCGUGUUCCCUUCCCGUGUCCCCCUCCUGUAUCCCCUUCCCAUGUCCCCUUCCCAUGUCCCCUUCCCAUGUUCCCUCCCGUGUCCCCUUCCUGUGUCCCCUUCCCAUGUCCCCUUCUCGUGUUCCCUUCCCGUGUCCCCUUCCCAUGUCCCCUUCCCGUGUCCCCUUCCCGUGUCCCCUUCCCGUGUCCCCCUCCCAUGUUCCCUUCCUGUAUCCCCUUCCCAUGUUCCCUCCCGUGUCCCCUUCCCAUGUCCCCUUCCUGUAUCUCCUUCCUGUGUCCCCUUCCCAUGUUCCCUUCCCGUAUGCCCUUCCCGUGUCCCCCUCCUGUGUCCUCUUCCUGUGUCCCCUUUCCGUGUCUCAUUCCCGUGUUCCCUUCCCAUGUUCCCUCCUGUGUUCCCUUCCCAUGUCCCCUUCCUGUAUUUCCUUCCCGUGUCCCCUUCUCAUGUUCCCUUCCCGUGUCCCCUUCCUGUGUCCCCCUUCCAUGUCCCCUUCCCGUGUUCCCUUCCCAUGUUCCCUCCCAUGUCCCCUUCCCGUGUCCCCUUCCGUGUUCCCUUCCCAUGUUCCCUCCCAUGUCCCCUUCCCGUUUCCCCUUCCUGUGUCCCCAUCUCGUGUCCCCUUCCCGUGUCCCCUUCCCGUGUCCCCUUCCCAUGUCCCCUUCCCAUGUUCCCUUCCCAUGUUCCCUCCCAUGUUCCCUUCCCAUGUUCCCUUCCCAUGUUCCCUUCCCUUGUCCCCUUCCCGUGUCCCCUUCCCAUGUUCCCUUCCCAUGUCCCCUUCCCGUGUCUCCUUCC
Molecule: long non-coding RNA, 1060 nt
Filed under: Numida meleagris (helmeted guineafowl)
Lineage: Eukaryota; Metazoa; Chordata; Aves; Galliformes; Numididae
Description: lncRNA (ENSNMEG00000001039.1)
Source: RNAcentral